AGAGUUUGAUCCUGGCUCAGGACGAACGCUGGCGGCGUGCUUAACACAUGCAAGUCGAACGGAAAGGCCCUUCGGGGUACUCGAGUGGCGAACGGGUGAGUAACACGUGGGUGAUCUGCCCUGCACUUUGGGAUAAGCCUGGGAAACUGGGUCUAAUACCGAAUAUGACCAUGCGCCUCCUGGUGUGUGGUGGAAAGCUUUUGCGGUGUGGGAUGGGCCCGCGGCCUAUCAGCUUGUUGGUGGGGUAAUGGCCUACCGAGGCGACGACGGGUAGCCGGCCUGAGAGGGUGACCGGCCACACUGGGACUGAGAUACGGCCCAGACUCCUACGGGAGGCAGCAGUGGGGAAUAUUGCACAAUGGGCGCAAGCCUGAUGCAGCGACGCCGCGUGAGGGAUGACGGCCUUCGGGUUGUAAACCUCUUUCAGCACAGACGAAGCGCAAGUGACGGUAUGUGCAGAAGAAGGACCGGCCAACUACGUGCCAGCAGCCGCGGUAAUACGUAGGGUCCGAGCGUUGUCCGGAAUUACUGGGCGUAAAGAACUCGUAGGUGGUUUGUCGCGUUGUUCGUGAAAACUCACAGCUUAACUGUGGGCGUGCGGGCGAUACGGGCAGACUUGAGUACUGCAGGGGAGACUGGAAUUCCUGGUGUAGCGGUGGAAUGCGCAGAUAUCAGGAGGAACACCGGUGGCGAAGGCGGGUCUCUGGGCAGUAACUGACGCUGAGGAGCGAAAGCGUGGGGAGCGAACAGGAUUAGAUACCCUGGUAGUCCAA
RNAcentral lists this ribosomal RNA (773 nucleotides) under uncultured bacterium. RNAcentral's name for it is "bacterial SSU rRNA". It matches the Rfam family "Bacterial small subunit ribosomal RNA", at positions 8 to 798 of the family's 1533-position model. The record is from RNAcentral.